RNAcentral lists this transfer RNA (89 nucleotides) under Clostridium sp. 'deep sea'. RNAcentral describes it as "tRNA-Leu". It matches the Rfam family "tRNA". From Rfam's summary of the family: Transfer RNA (tRNA) molecules are approximately 80 nucleotides in length. Their secondary structure includes four short double-helical elements and three loops (D, anti-codon, and T loops). The record is from RNAcentral. Lineage: Bacteria; Bacillati; Bacillota; Clostridia; Eubacteriales; Clostridiaceae.
GCCUGGGUGGCGAAAUUGGCAGACGCAAGGGACUUAAAAUCCCUCGGUAAGUGAUUACCGUGUCGGUUCGAGUCCGACCCCAGGCACCA